This 1227-nucleotide ribosomal RNA is filed under the name Triticum aestivum (bread wheat). Its description in RNAcentral is "partial small subunit ribosomal RNA". Lineage: Eukaryota; Viridiplantae; Streptophyta; Magnoliopsida; Poales; Poaceae. The record is from RNAcentral.
AUGUCGAGCGCCGCCACCACCGGUUCCACUGCUGCGGGCUUCCUCCCGGCCUCUCUUGCGGCUCUGCUCAACCUCCCGCUCGAUGCCGUCUCUGUUCUGGCUCCGAUCGGGACAAGGAGCAUCGGCUCCGUCUUCUCCACGCCGCCGGCGCCCUCGCUUGGGCGUGACCUCGUGGUCCACACCGCGGCGCCGCCGUCCGCUGCGGACUCCGCAGGCGUCGUCCCGCCGCUCCUGCCGCAAGCGGAUCACACUGCCCCGCUGGCGGGGUUGGCAGCGUCCGCCCCGGCCGCGGGCCUUGCGGCGUCCGCACCGGCCGCGAGCUUUGCGGCGCCCGCCCUGGCUGCGGUCCCGCCUCCUCCCGCAUCGGCUUCGGUGCCUCCGGCUGCCUCCAUGGUGUUUGCACCCCAGGCAGCCUCCUCGAUGGGAUUGUCUUCGCCGCCGCCGUUUCACUUCGGUCAUCUCAUCACCAUCAAGCUCUCCGUCGACAACUACAUCUUCUGGAGUGCGCAGGUUCUCCCGCUCUUGGGGAGUCACUACCUGCUAGGCUACGUCGACGGAUCGCUUCCCUGCCCACCCGCGCUGGUAGACAGCGUGCACGGUCCGGUCUACAAUCCGGCCCAUCGCGUCUGGACGGGGCAGGACCAGGCGAACCUCUCCUCCAUCCAGGGGUCGCUCUCGCCGGCAGUUGCCGGCCUUGUUGUCUUCGCGAAGACGUCUCAUGAGGCCUGGACCAUCCUUGAGCGCACCUUUGCAGCGCAGUCCCAGGCUCGUGUCUCUGCACUCCGUCGUCAGCUUGGAGAGUGUCAGAAGCUUGACUCCGCUGCCACUGAGUUCUACAACAAGGUCAAGGGCCUCGCCGACACAUUGGCCUCCAUUGGACAGCCCCUCACCGACUCCGAGUUCAACUCGUUUAUUGUCAAUGGUCUUGAUGAGGAGUAUGAUGCCUUAGUCGAGAUCAUCAACGAGCGGGGCAACUCGACACCCAUGCUGGCACACGAGGUUUUCUCUCGGCUCCUUCUCACUGAGCAACGGGUCGAGACUCGCCGCACCAGGGGCACUGGCUCCCUCUCGGCCAACGCCGCCACCAAGGGUGGCCGCUCUUCUUCAUCACCCCGGUCUCCCUUGGGGCUGCCACCGUCGCCCGCCUCGGCCCCCCCACCUACUGCGACCUUACCGGGGUCUGGCGGUCCACGUGUGUGUCAGCUUUGUGGCCGCGAUGGGCACUAG